AAUGAACGCUGGCGGUGUGCCUAACACAUGCAAGUCGAGCGGCCAGACAAUAAGCUCUUGCCCUUACCGUUAGCGGCUGACGGACGAGUAAGGCGUAGAUAACCAUCUUCUUUUUCUUGGGUAAUUUCGUGAAGCCGCUUACGCUACUACCUCAUAUAUUCUACCGCUUAAUUCAAUAGUUAAUCACGCCUUUCCUGUUUCUUUUAGCUGGUUCCGCGCCGCAUUAGUUAGUUGGUAAGGUAACGGCUUACCAAGGCGACGAUGCGUAGCCGGCCUGAGAGGGUGAUCGGCCACACUGGAACUGAGACACGGUCCAGACUCCUACGGGAGGCAGCAGUAGGGAAUCUUCGGCAAUGGGCGAAAGCCUGACGGAGCAACGCCGCGUGAGUGAAGAAGGUCUUCGGAUCGUAAAGCUCUGUUAUUAGGGAAGAACAAAUGUGGAAGUAAAUAUGCACGUCUUGACGGUACCUAAACAGAAAGCAACGGCUAACUACGUG
This 497-nucleotide ribosomal RNA is filed under the name uncultured bacterium. Its description in RNAcentral is "partial 16S ribosomal RNA". It matches the Rfam family "Bacterial small subunit ribosomal RNA", at positions 29 to 507 of the family's 1533-position model. The record is from RNAcentral.